CCUACGGGAGGCAGCAGUGAGGAAUAUUGGUCAAUGGGCGGGAGCCUGAACCAGCCAAGUCGCGUGAGGGAUGACGGCCCUAUGGGUUGUAAACCUCUUUUGCCGGGGAGCAAAGUGCCGCACGUGUGCGGUUUGGAGCGUACCCGGAGAAAAAGCAUCGGCAAACUCCGGUCCAGCAGCCGCGGUAAUACGGGGGAUGCGAGCGUUAUCCGGGUUUAUUGGGGUUAAGGGGUGCGUAGGCGGACGGUUAAGUCAGCGGUAAAAUUGCGGGGCUCAACCUCGUCGAGCCGUUGAAACUGGGGGCCUUGAGUGGGAGAGAAGUACGCGGAAUGCGUGGUGUAGCGGUGAAAUGCAUAGAUAUCACGCAGAACCCCGAUUGCGAAGGCAGCGUACCGGCGCCCAACUGACGCUGAAGCACGAAGGCGUGGGGAUCGAACAGGAUUAGAUACCCUGGUAGUC
RNAcentral lists this ribosomal RNA (459 nucleotides) under uncultured bacterium. RNAcentral describes it as "partial 16S ribosomal RNA". It matches the Rfam family "Bacterial small subunit ribosomal RNA", at positions 338 to 795 of the family's 1533-position model. The record is from RNAcentral.